This 465-nucleotide ribosomal RNA is filed under the name uncultured bacterium. RNAcentral's name for it is "bacterial SSU rRNA". It matches the Rfam family "Bacterial small subunit ribosomal RNA", at positions 338 to 795 of the family's 1533-position model. The record is from RNAcentral.
CCUACGGGCUGCAGCAGUGGGGAAUAUUGCACAAUGGGCGCAAGCCUGAUGCAGCCAUGCCGCGUGUAUGAAGAAGGCCUUAGGGUUGUAAAGUACUUUCAGUUGGGAGGAAGGCGUUGAUGCUAAUAUCAUCAGCGAUUGACGUUACCAACAGAAGAAGCACCGGCUAACUCCGUGCCGGCAGCCGCGGUAAUACGGAGGGUGCAAGCGUUAAUCGGAAUUACUGGGCGUAAAGCGCACGCAGGCGGUUGAUUAAGUUAGAUGUGAAAUCCCCGGGCUUAACCUGGGAAUGGCAUCUAAGACUGGUCAGCUAGAGUCUUGUAGAGGGGGGUAGAAUUCCAGGUGUAGCGGUGAAAUGCGUAGAGGUCUGAAGGAAUACCAGUGGCGAAGGCGGCCCCCUGGACAAAGACUGACGCUCAGGUGCGAAAGCGUGGGGAGCAAACAGGAUUAGAUACCCGUGUAGUC